GCUAAUCUGCGAAAAGCGCCGGUGAGCUGAUAUGAAGCGCUAUCAGCCGGCGAUGUCCGAAUGGGGAAACCCGGUGCAAUCCGUUGCACCAUCAUUAACUGAAUCCAUAGGUUAAUGAGGCGAACCGGGGGAACUGAAACAUCUCAGUACCCCGAGGAAAAGAAAUCAACCGAGAUUCCCCCAGUAGCGGCGAGCGAACGGGGAGGAGCCCAGAGC
Molecule: ribosomal RNA, 216 nt
Filed under: Xenorhabdus sp. BG5
Lineage: Bacteria; Pseudomonadati; Pseudomonadota; Gammaproteobacteria; Enterobacterales; Morganellaceae
Description: partial 23S ribosomal RNA
Rfam family: Bacterial large subunit ribosomal RNA
Source: RNAcentral